RNAcentral lists this ribosomal RNA (497 nucleotides) under uncultured bacterium. RNAcentral's name for it is "partial 16S ribosomal RNA". It matches the Rfam family "Bacterial small subunit ribosomal RNA", at positions 28 to 507 of the family's 1533-position model. The record is from RNAcentral.
GAUGAACGCUGGCGGCGUGCCUAAUACAUGCAAGUCGAGCGAACGGACGAGCAGCUUGCUUUUCUGAUGUUAGCGGCGGACGGGUGAGUAACACGUGGAUAACCUACCUAUAAGACUGGGAUAACUUCGGGAAACCGGAGCUAAUACCGGAUAAUAUUUUGAACCGCAUGGUUCAAAAGUGAAAGACGGUCUUGCUGUCACUUAUAGAUGGAUCCGCGCUGCAUUAGCUAGUUGGUAAGGUAACGGCUUACCAAGGCAACGAUGCAUAGCCGACCUCAGAGGGUGAUCGGCCACACUGGAACUGAGACACGGUCCAGACUCCUACGGGAGGCAGCAGUAGGGAAUCUUCCGCAAUGGGCGAAAGCCUGACGGAGCAACGCCGCGUGAGUGAUGAAGGUCUUCGGAUCGUAAAACUCUGUUAUUAGGGAAGAACAUAUGUGUAAGUAACUGUGCACAUCUUGACGGUACCUAAUCAGAAAGCCAGGGCUAACUACGUG